UUGUCCCGGAACUAGCUCUUGUAG
Molecule: non-coding RNA, 24 nt
Filed under: Cricetulus griseus (Chinese hamster)
Lineage: Eukaryota; Metazoa; Chordata; Mammalia; Rodentia; Cricetidae
Source: RNAcentral